AUUGAGAAGGUACAAAUUACAAUAUCGAUAUUUUGUCUUCGCCUCUUUUCUCUUUUCUUUUUUUCCGAAACCCUUCGGUCGUUCUUUCGUUCUAAUGUAAGGUUCGUCUCCUUGUGAGAUUUCGUUGUCAUCUUGUGCGGUCUUUGUCUCCUUUUUUAGAUUCAUCACAACAAUAACCAUGUCAAAGUAACUUGAGUUGAAAACAGAAUCGACGGAGCUCAGCGCGACGUCCCCUGAGAGGAAGACCGACAUCAGUGGCAGUGAGCAUCCGAUCGGCGUUGCGACUGCCCGACCCCCGACUGCAGCGGCCCAUGAAACUGUGACGGCCUUGUCGUAGACUACUCUGGCCCCGUCGACAGCACUCGUCCCGAUGGACUCGGCGGAGAUGACCGCCGAUGAGUUAGCUGCAGAUGGAGAGAUUAGAAGACCCUUGAAAUCUCCACGGAAACUUAAUCAUCAUCAGGGUCUCAAAGAACAGGCGAGUCAGCGUGAAACGACUCGCCUAGCUAUGUAGGGAACUAGGCUUUGGUGGACUACUGACCUAUCCACAGCGGCGAAGAAAAGGCCGACUACCCCCUCCCAUUACCUUUCGGUUUUAAUAAAGGUUUUGGUCCGUACUGUCUCUUAUUUGUUAGGUUGUGUUGCAAACUUUGUUGAUCACUUUGAGCUGUUUCAUCGAGUCAGGAAGUAGUGUUUUACUUUAGUUUCAAUAUCAAAUUUAAAUCCGAUCACGAUCGUGAAAAUUAAGAAUGUGAAAUAAUCUAACUAAUUCAAUUAUAUAUUUUUCCAUUAUUAUUUUUAUCUUUCGAUUAUGCCAGUUGUAAAUCUCAAAUUUUUUGCUUUAUAAAUGCAAAUCUUCUCAUUUAUAAAAAAAAAUGUGUAUGAGGCCGGGGAUAUUAUUUCGUUUUAAGUCGGUACUUUUCUGUUUGUGUUUUUUUUCUUCCAGCAGUUUUAUG
Molecule: long non-coding RNA, 956 nt
Filed under: Linum usitatissimum (flax)
Lineage: Eukaryota; Viridiplantae; Streptophyta; Magnoliopsida; Malpighiales; Linaceae
Description: long non-coding RNA (LUSI_LNC008243)
Source: RNAcentral